AGCAGCCGCGGUAAUUCCAGCUCCAAUAGCGUAUAUUAAAGUUGUUGCAGUUAAAAAGCUCGUAGUUGAAUUUCGGGGUUAGUAGGUUGGUCAUGCCUCUGGUAUGUACUGGUCUCACUGAUUCCUCCUUCCUGAUGAACCUCAAUGCCAUUAAUUUGGUGUUUUGGGGAAUUUGGACUGUUACUUUGAAAAAUUAGAGUGUUUAAAGCAAGCUAACGCUUGAAUACAUUAGCAUGGAAUAAUGAAAUAGGACGUUCGAUCCUAUUUUUGUUGGUUUUCUAGGAUUGACGUAAUGAUUAAUAGGGGAUAGUUGGGGGGCAUUAGUAUUCAAUUGUCAGAGGUGAAAUUCUUGGAUUAAUUGAAGACUAACUACUGCGAAAGCAUUUGCCAAGGAUGUUUUCAUUAAUCAAGAACGAAAGUUAGGGGAUCGAAGACGAUCAGAUACCGUCGUAGUCUUAACCAUAAACUAUGCCGACUAGGGAUCGGAUGAUGUUAAUUUUUAAUGACUCAUUCGGCGCCU
RNAcentral lists this ribosomal RNA (520 nucleotides) under uncultured Glomus. RNAcentral's name for it is "SSU rRNA". It matches the Rfam family "Eukaryotic small subunit ribosomal RNA", at positions 569 to 1088 of the family's 1831-position model. Lineage: Eukaryota; Fungi; Glomeromycota; Glomeromycetes; Glomerales; Glomeraceae. The record is from RNAcentral.